CAGGACCACGCAUGCACGAUGCAUUGCCGAUAGCAGGAGGUGCCACGCGUUUACCCCGUUGUCGGUCUGCCCUGUCAACGAGACGCAUUUGGCAUGUCGAUGCGGCUGAAGCAAUGCUGGUCGUGGGGAAAGGGUCGGUGAAGACCAAAACCAAUUCUUUCCAUUUUUCGGUAGAUUCCGAGCUCGCCGGCAUUGGACUGAGGAAACCGAUAAAAGCGCAAGAGUUGCGCUGUCGUCGAUGACCUGUGCUGGCGGUUGGAGUGGACAGCGGCUGCUGUGGUAAUACGCGCCAGUGGGUUGCGCGACCAGAGGAUCGCGCGCCCGGUGGGUCGCGCGCUCGGUGGGUCGCGCGACCAGUGGAUCCCGCGCCCGUGGGUCGCGCGCCCGAGGGGUCACGCGACGGUGGGUCGCGCAC
RNAcentral lists this long non-coding RNA (415 nucleotides) under Manihot esculenta (cassava). RNAcentral describes it as "long non-coding RNA (MESC_LNC008225)". Lineage: Eukaryota; Viridiplantae; Streptophyta; Magnoliopsida; Malpighiales; Euphorbiaceae. The record is from RNAcentral.